GGGAGUGCGCCGAAGUUGGAGAGUCGGGGCGGACUGUAAAUCCGUUGUCUUUGACUGAGUAGGUUCGAUUCCUACCGCUCCCACCA
This 86-nucleotide transfer RNA is filed under the name Allomuricauda sp. Its description in RNAcentral is "tRNA-Tyr". It matches the Rfam family "tRNA". Rfam says of the family: Transfer RNA (tRNA) molecules are approximately 80 nucleotides in length. Their secondary structure includes four short double-helical elements and three loops (D, anti-codon, and T loops). Lineage: Bacteria; Pseudomonadati; Bacteroidota; Flavobacteriia; Flavobacteriales; Flavobacteriaceae. The record is from RNAcentral.